UUGACUCUGGGAUAAGCCUGGGAAACUGGGUUCUAAUACCGGAUACGAACCAAUCUCCGCAUGGGGUCGUUCGGUGGAAAGCGUUAUGGAGUGGUUUUUAGAUGGGCUCACGGCCUAUCAGCUUGUUGGUGAGGUAAUGGCUUACCAAGGCGACGACGGGUAGCCGGCCUGAGAGGGUGACCGGCCACACUGGGACUGAGACACGGCCCAGACUCCUACGGGAGGCAGCAGUGGGGAAUAUUGCACAAUGGGCGCAAGCCUGAUGCAGCGACGCCGCGUGAGGGAUGACGGCCUUCGGGUUUGUAAACCUCUGUUAGCAUCGAAGAAGCGAAAGUGACGGUAGGUGCAGAGAAAGCGCCGGCUAACUACGUGCCAGCAGCCGCGGUAAUACGUAGGGCGCGAGCGUUGUCCGGAAUUAUUGGGCGUAAAGAGCUUGUAGGCGGUUGGUCGCGUCUGCUGUGAAAGGCUGGGGCUUAACCCUGGUUUUGCAGUGGGUACGGGCUAACUAGAGUGCAGUAGGGGAGACUGGAAUUCCUGGUGUAGCGGUGGAAUGCGCAGAUAUCAGGAGGAACACCGAUGGCGAAGGCAGGUCUCUGGGCUGUAACUGACGCUGAGAAGCGAAAGCAUGGGGAGCGAACAGGAUUAGAUACCCUGGUAGUCCAUGCCGUAAACGUUGGGCACUAGGUGUGGGGGACAUUCCACGUUUUCCGCGCCGUAGCUAACGCAUUAAGUGCCCCGCCUGGGGAGUACGGCCGCAAGGCUAAAACUCAAAGAAAUUGACGGGGGCCCGCACAAGCGGCGGAGCAUGCGGAUUAAUUCGAUGCAACGCGAAGAACCUUACCAAGGCUUGACAUAUACUGGACUGCGUCAGAGAUGGCGUUUCCCUUCGGGGCUGGUAUACAGGUGGUGCAUGGUUGUCGUCAGCUCGUGUCGUGAGAUGUUGGGUUAAGUCCCGCAACGAGCGCAACCCUCGUUCUAUGUUGCCAGCACGUGAUGGUGGGGACUCAUAGGAGACUGCCGGGGUCAACUCGGAGGAAGGUGGGGAUGACGUCAAAUCAUCAUGCCCCUUAUGUCUUGGGCUUCACGCAUGCUACAAUGGCCGGUACAGGGGGUUGCGAUACUGUGAGGCGGAGCUAAUCCCUAAAAGCCGGUCUCAGUUCGGAUUGGGGUCUGCAACUCGACCCCAUGAAGUCGGAGUCGCUAGUAAUCGCAGAUCAGCAACGCUGCGGUGAAUACGUUCCCGGGCCUUGUACACACCGCCCUUCAAG
RNAcentral lists this ribosomal RNA (1268 nucleotides) under uncultured bacterium. RNAcentral's name for it is "bacterial SSU rRNA". It matches the Rfam family "Bacterial small subunit ribosomal RNA", at positions 132 to 1401 of the family's 1533-position model. The record is from RNAcentral.